GCCGCCAUAGUUCAACGGAUAGAACGAGUGCCUCCUAAGCGCUAGAUACAGGUUCGAUUCCUGUUGGUGGCACCA
Molecule: transfer RNA, 75 nt
Filed under: Polaromonas hydrogenivorans
Lineage: Bacteria; Pseudomonadati; Pseudomonadota; Betaproteobacteria; Burkholderiales; Comamonadaceae
Also listed under: 7 other names
Description: tRNA-Arg(cct)
Rfam family: tRNA
About the family: Transfer RNA (tRNA) molecules are approximately 80 nucleotides in length. Their secondary structure includes four short double-helical elements and three loops (D, anti-codon, and T loops). Further hydrogen bonds mediate the characteristic L-shaped molecular structure. tRNAs have two regions of fundamental functional importance: the anti-codon, which is responsible for specific mRNA codon recognition, and the 3' end, to which the tRNAs corresponding amino acid is attached (by aminoacyl-tRNA synthetases). tRNAs cope with the degeneracy of the genetic code in two manners: having more than one tRNA (with a specific anti-codon) for a particular amino acid; and 'wobble' base-pairing, i.e. permitting non-standard base-pairing at the 3rd anti-codon position.
Source: RNAcentral